GGCUCUUGGGUCGUAAACCUCUUUUCUCAGGGAAGAACACAAUGACGGUACCUGAGGAAUAAGCAUCGGCUAACUCCGUGCCAGCAGCCGCGGUAAUACGGAGGAUGCAAGCGUUAUCCGGAAUGAUUGGGCGUAAAGCGUCCGCAGGUGGCUGUGUAAGUCUGCUGUUAAAGAGUGAGGCUCAACCUCAUAAGAGCAGUGGAAACUACACGGCUAGAGUACGUUCGGGGCAGAGGGAAUUCCUGGUGUAGCGGUGAAAUGCGUAGAGAUCAGGAAGAACACCAGUGGCGAAGGCGCUCUGCUAGGCCGUAACUGACACUGAGGGACGAAAGCUAGGGGAGCGAAUGGGAUUAGAUACCCCAGUAGUCCUAGCCGUAAACGAUGGAUACUAGGCGUGGCUUGUAUCGACCCGAGCCGUGCCGUAGCUAACGCGUUAAGUAUCCCGCCUGGGGAGUACGCCGGCAACGGUGAAACUCAAAGGAAUUGACGGGGGCCCGCACAAGCGGUGGAGUAUGUGGUUUAAUUCGAUGCAACGCGAAGAACCUUACCAAGGCUUGACAUGUCGCGAAUCUCGGUGAAAGCUGAGAGUGCCUUCGGGAGCGCGAACACAGGUGGUGCAUGGCUGUCGUCAGCUCGUGUCGUGAGAUGUUGGGUUAAGUCCCGCAACGAGCGCAACCCUCGUUUUUAGUUGCCAGCAUUAAGUUGGGCACUCUAGAGAGACUGCCGGUGACAAACCGGAGGAAGGUGGGGAUGACGUCAAGUCAGCAUGCCCCUUACGCCUUGGGCUACACACGUACUACAAUGCUCCGGACAGAGGGCAGCAAGCAUGCGAAUGCAAGCAAAUCCCGGAAACCGGAGCUCAGUUCAGAUCGCAGGCUGCAACUCGCCUGCGUGAAGGAGGAAUCGCUAGUAAU
Molecule: ribosomal RNA, 914 nt
Filed under: Nostoc commune MUB-Algas 2925
Lineage: Bacteria; Bacillati; Cyanobacteriota; Cyanophyceae; Nostocales; Nostocaceae
Description: bacterial SSU rRNA
Rfam family: Bacterial small subunit ribosomal RNA
Source: RNAcentral